RNAcentral lists this transfer RNA (73 nucleotides) under Ramalina intermedia. Its description in RNAcentral is "tRNA-Met". It matches the Rfam family "tRNA". Rfam says of the family: Transfer RNA (tRNA) molecules are approximately 80 nucleotides in length. Their secondary structure includes four short double-helical elements and three loops (D, anti-codon, and T loops). Lineage: Eukaryota; Fungi; Ascomycota; Lecanoromycetes; Lecanorales; Ramalinaceae. The record is from RNAcentral. RNAcentral also lists the same sequence under 3 other names.
AAGGCCAUAGCGUAAUUGGCAAAGCAAACUGCUCAUGACAGUUCAGAUGAGUGUUCGAAUCAUUCUGGCCUUA